This 1188-nucleotide ribosomal RNA is filed under the name Enterococcus casseliflavus. Its description in RNAcentral is "bacterial SSU rRNA". It matches the Rfam family "Bacterial small subunit ribosomal RNA", at positions 65 to 1238 of the family's 1533-position model. The record is from RNAcentral. Lineage: Bacteria; Bacillati; Bacillota; Bacilli; Lactobacillales; Enterococcaceae.
UUCUUUCACCGGAGCUUGCUCCACCGAAAGAAAAAGAGUGGCGAACGGGUGAGUAACACGUGGGUAACCUGCCCAUCAGAAGGGGAUAACACUUGGAAACAGGUGCUAAUACCGUAUAACACUAUUUUCCGCAUGGAAGAAAGUUGAAAGGCGCUUUUGCGUCACUGAUGGAUGGACCCGCGGUGCAUUAGCUAGUUGGUGAGGUAACGGCUCACCAAGGCAACGAUGCAUAGCCGACCUGAGAGGGUGAUCGGCCACACUGGGACUGAGACACGGCCCAGACUCCUACGGGAGGCAGCAGUAGGGAAUCUUCGGCAAUGGACGAAAGUCUGACCGAGCAACGCCGCGUGAGUGAAGAAGGUUUUCGGAUCGUAAAACUCUGUUGUUAGAGAAGAACAAGGAUGAGAGUAAAAUGUUCAUCCCUUGACGGUAUCUAACCAGAAAGCCACGGCUAACUACGUGCCAGCAGCCGCGGUAAUACGUAGGUGGCAAGCGUUGUCCGGAUUUAUUGGGCGUAAAGCGAGCGCAGGCGGUUUCUUAAGUCUGAUGUGAAAGCCCCCGGCUCAACCGGGGAGGGUCAUUGGAAACUGGGAGACUUGAGUGCAGAAGAGGAGAGUGGAAUUCCAUGUGUAGCGGUGAAAUGCGUAGAUAUAUGGAGGAACACCAGUGGCGAAGGCGGCUCUCUGGUCUGUAACUGACGCUGAGGCUCGAAAGCGUGGGGAGCGAACAGGAUUAGAUACCCUGGUAGUCCACGCCGUAAACGAUGAGUGCUAAGUGUUGGAGGGUUUCCGCCCUUCAGUGCUGCAGCAAACGCAUUAAGCACUCCGCCUGGGGAGUACGACCGCAAGGUUGAAACUCAAAGGAAUUGACGGGGGCCCGCACAAGCGGUGGAGCAUGUGGUUUAAUUCGAAGCAACGCGAAGAACCUUACCAGGUCUUGACAUCCUUUGACCACUCUAGAGAUAGAGCUUCCCCUUCGGGGGCAAAGUGACAGGUGGUGCAUGGUUGUCGUCAGCUCGUGUCGUGAGAUGUUGGGUUAAGUCCCGCCACGAGCGCAACCCUUAUUGUUAGUUGCCAUCAUUUAGUUGGGCACUCUAGCGAGACUGCCGGUGACAAACCGGAGGAAGGUGGGGAUGACGUCAAUCAUCAGGCCCCUAUGACCGGGCUACACCCUGCUACAUGGGAAGAC